CAGGGGUUCAUGGUUUUGCUCUUUAUACACUUUAUGGGAUUCUGACUGGAUGUGGGGCUUUGUUCUUCAUCAUUAUCUUCAUCAUUUUGUUUAUGAUGAAGCGCAGAAGAGAUCGUACAGCAGAAGACAUCAAGCAGAAACAGACGGCUGACUCGAGUGAUGAUACAUACACAGCUCUGAAUCCUGAGUACAGAACAUCUGAUGACAUUUACAGCACAGUCA
Molecule: non-coding RNA, 222 nt
Organism: Misgurnus anguillicaudatus (oriental weatherfish)
Lineage: Eukaryota; Metazoa; Chordata; Actinopteri; Cypriniformes; Cobitidae
Source: RefSeq, a predicted model, not a curated record